Molecule: ribosomal RNA, 497 nt
Filed under: uncultured bacterium
Lineage: Bacteria
Description: partial 16S ribosomal RNA
Rfam family: Bacterial small subunit ribosomal RNA
Source: RNAcentral
GAUGAACGCUGGCGGCGUGCCUAAUACAUGCAAGUCGAGCGAACAGACGAGGAGCUUGCUCCUCCGACGUUAGCGGCGGACGGGUGAGUAACACGUGGAUAACCUACCUAUAAGACUGGGAUAACUUCGGGAAACCGGAGCUAAUACCGGAUAAUAUAUUGAACCGCAUGGUUCAAUAGUGAAAGACGGUUUUGCUGUCACUUAUAGAUGGAUCCGCGCCGCAUUAGCUAGUUGGUAAGGUAACGGCUUACCAAGGCAGCGAUGCGUAGCCGACCUGAGAGGGUGAUCGGCCACACUGGAACUGAGACACGGUCCAGACUCCUACGGGAGGCAGCAGUAGGGAAUCUUCCGCAAUGGGCGAAAGCCUGACGGAGCAACGCCGCGUGAGUGAUGAAGGUCUUCGGAUCGUAAAACUCUGUUAUUAGGGAAGAACAAAUGUGUAAGUAACUAUGCACGUCUUGACGGUACCUAAUCAGAAAGCCACGGCUAACUACGUG